GACUAGCAGGGAGAGGGGGAAAAAAAGCAGGCAUUUGCCUUUUCUGUCAGCUGAGGUUGGACCGUGGGAGACUAUUACUGGAAGCUGUUGCUCUGUAUCUUUUCUUGGAGAAGGCUUUGUGAGAAGCUGGUAUGGUGUGAAGGAAAAGGCAUUGUUCGGAGGCUAAUUCAAGGGCACAAUCAUGGAGGAAAUGGACUUUGAGCGGCGCCGGGAGCUGAGGAGGCAGAAGCGCGAAGAGAUGCGCCUGGAGGCUGAACGGAUGGCGAGGAUUGACGAUGAUGAGGAGGAGGCGGCCCGCGAGAGGAGGCGCAGGGCGCGCCAGGAGAGGCUCAGGACCAGAGAGAGCGAGGAGCCCGGCAGCCAGCCAGACAGCGUGGUCAUGACCAAUAGUCACAGUGUGACAGAGACUGUGUCUGUGAGCAGCUCCUCUUAUGGGGGCGGCGGAGACGACGAGGACCAAGCCCUGCAGGACCGCAUGGCCAAACGCGAGGAGAGACGGCAGAGGCGCAUGCAGGAGGCACUGGAGCGGCAGAGGCAGCUGGACCCCACCGGCACGGACGGCAACGGCGGCGGCGGCAGCGGCGUCGCCAUGGAGAAGGAGGACGCAGAAGAGGAGAGGCCCUCCUCCUGGCGCAGGGGUCGUUACCGUGACAACGAGGACGAGGAGGAGAAGCCGAGCACCUACGGCUCCAGGAGGGAGGAGAAGGAGCGAGAGGAGCCGAGGGAGGUAGAGGAGGCUGCUCCCGAGGGGAGAGAGGAGGAGGAAGAGGAGGAGGAGGAGGAGGAGGAGGAGGGCGUGGAUGAAGAGGAGGUGGAGGAGGAGGAGGAGGAGGAGCAGAAAGUUGAAGUGGUGGAGGACAAACCGAGAAGGUCUUACCUGAGAGAACAGGCAUCAACCGAAGAGCCUAAAAUACAAAACCAGGACCUCGUUGAGGAACAAACACAUUCGGUAGUCAGUUCAAAUCAGGCCAAGUCAGCAAAUUCAGAGGCUGAGGAGGACGCGGCAGCGUCAGGGGAGGCUGAAGAGGUACCUGAGGAAGAUAAUGUAGAUAAUUCAGCCGAGAGCGAGACUUUGUUACUAAGAAAUGACACAGAAGAGGACUUUGAGGUAUCUGAGAUACUGCACUCAGAGGAUAAUGAGGUGAACGAGAGGGGCGGGGCCAGGGAGGAAAGGGAGGAUCAGCGGAAGCACAACGGAGGGCUGCACGACGAGGCGGCUCCCAAACAGCACAGGAAACCCGAGAGGACCCUCAGUCGCGGCAGCGUGCGUUCCCCCGAGGCGUCCGCGGGUGACGAGCAGGACGACGCCGCCCGCCUGGAGGCAGAGCGCAAGCUGGAGGAGCUGAAGCGCCGCCGCGACGACGCCGAGAGCGAGGAGUUCGAGAGGAUGAGGCAGAAGCAGCAGGAGGCCGAGGCCGAGCUGGAGGAGCUGAAGAGGAAGAGGGAGGAGAGGAGGAAGGUGCUGGAGGAGGAGGAGAGGCAGAAGAAGCAGGAGGAGGCGGAAAGGAAAGCCAAGGAGGAGGAGGAGAAGAGGAAGAUGAAGGAGGAGAUCGAAAGGAGGAGAGCAGAGGCAGCUGAGAAGAGGCAGAAGGUGGAGGACACCGUGGAUGGGGAGGGCAAACCCUUCAAGUGCGUCAGCCCGCGAGGCUCCUCUCUGAAGAUCGGAGAAAGAGCUGAGUUUCUGAACAAGUCAGCGCAGAAAAGCGCAGUGAAGGCGGCUCAUUCUCCCGUGGUGUCCAAGAUAGACAACAGGCUGGAGCAGUACACCUCAGCUGCUCAGAGAGAGAACAAGGAGUCUCGAUCCCCUCGCUCCGGAGCGGUGGAUCUGCCCAUGGUCACCGACAGCAUACGAAACAUCAAGAGCAUGUGGGAGAAGGGCAACGUGUUCACCUCCCCCGGCGGCGGCGGCGGCGGCACAUUCAAGGAAGCAGCUGUGAUGAAGACGGGCGUGGCAGGCCGCAUCAACGACUGGCUGAACAAAACCCCAGAGAGUGGCAAGACGUCAGGAGGAAGGCCAGCGGACCUGAAGCCUGUUGACGUCACCAACAAGAGGAGUCUAUGGGAAAACAAAGGCGCCUCUCCAACCAAGAACUCUCAUAGCUAGUUGACCUCACCGUUAAAUCUGGAAUAAGCCUGGAGAGGUGGCAGGCAGAGGGGAGACCAAAUCAGUCGCCAAUGGUAUGGGACACUAAUGCCUCGAAGGAGCCACUAAAGCUGGGGACCACGACAAUCCAAGACUCUUCCUUUGACUUAUUUCUUGAGAACCAAAUAAUGACCAUACUCCCGAGAGGGGACCCCAAGAGCACGGAGGGACAGGAGGGGACGCUGUCCGAGCACUGUACCGAGACAGCAUCAGAAUAUUUUUGUAGGGUCGCCACGUAUCGUGCCUUUGCACAAUUAUUUUUUUGUCUCUUUUAAAAAAAAAAAGUAAAUAAAAAAGUAACAAAAUGCUGUGAAAUUUGGAUAUUAGCAAUUACCAGGAAGACUAAACCAAUUAAAUUUAGAUUUAUCUUUUUGUACUCCGUGCCGAGUGGAUGAGUUUAAAGUUUCCACAUUCCAAAGAGAUGGGUGAAAUCAGUUCUCUCCCUCAUACAGAUUAUUUUCCAUCUCUCUCUCUCUUUUUUUUAUUUAUAUUUAAAGCAGAAGCUUCACACAUUGCUAUUUUAUUCAACGUUCACCUGUUCAGGAUAGAAAUAUAAGCACUUCUAGGAUUUAGCUGAUUUCACUUUUAUUAUGUCUUACCAAUAGUGCAGCAAUGGUCUGAGUAAUAUAUGUUAGCACAUGUGACGUUUUUUUUUUUUUUUUUUUGAAUAUCAUACUGUAUCAUAUAUAACAUCCAUAUACUCACAAUAAAAAAAGGUAUUUUUGCUUCUCUCUUUCCAUAUCUGAAACUAUUCACCAACAACAGGCAGUUCAUUUUGAAGGUGAUUGGAGUGUUGAAUAUCCAGAAGGCCAUUAUGACUUUUAUUAUCCUUUUUUUACUAUUAUUUAUGUUUUAAUGUCAUUUUCUAGCUGUUCUCUGUCGCUUUUGUACCUGUUCGAUCACUUUAAAAUCUUGAGACAUUCCUCUUAAAAGCAGGUGCACGUGGUGCCUUCGCUGCUUAAACGCUGUAGGUUUUAUAAUGUAGGCAAACCGACCUUUGUCUUUGUUUUUGUUUUUUAAUCUACCUAUAACUUCUUUAUUGUCUCUAUGCACACUCUUAUGCUCAGCAAUGCUUUUCGACUUGAGGGCAUACAAAUAAAAUCAGGGUGCCUAAGCAUAUAGCAAGAUAGUAGUCCAAGGAUAUUUACCACUAUGUAAAACUUCUGGCCUUAUGAUUGCAAUGACAGCAUUUACGACAGCUGAGGUACAUUACAUUAAAGCCUCACAGCAACUAAGUAUGACUUUGAGAUUUGUGAUUUUCAUGUUUAUUUUUCACUGACAUGUUCUUAAGUAGCACAUUCCCUUUCUUAGUUUUUUGGGGCUUUUGUUUUGCGCAGCACAAGUUUUGAUGAUAACAUGAACGGUUUGUCAGGGCAUUAAAUUGACCAAUGUUACUGCUCAAGAGUCUGACAAUCACAUUCCACAGCUCCUGAAAAGAGCAGGGGAGCUUGACCAAAACAUUUUUUUUUUAAGCGUGAUUUAAUGUGACAUUUGUGUUUUUUUUUCUUAAUACAGUUGUUACAUAUUGCUGUAUUGUUUUUGUUUUUUUUACAACUUUGUGUCCAUUUAAUGUCUUUUUUUUUUAAAGAUUCUUUUAUUUCCAUGUUUAACCAGACACUUUGUUGUUUGUGUAGCGCUAAGCCUAUGCAAAACACACUAUCUGUAGUCUCUCUCCCAAUGUCACAGAAGUGGGCAGUUUGGAUGAAUGUUUUAAACAUUGUACCCUUGACUCAACAACAGCAAUAAAGACAUUGAGGUAUUUCA
Molecule: RNA transcript, 3907 nt
Organism: Mugil cephalus (flathead mullet)
Lineage: Eukaryota; Metazoa; Chordata; Actinopteri; Mugiliformes; Mugilidae
Gene: cald1a
Gene name: caldesmon 1a
Exons: 17
Source: RefSeq, a predicted model, not a curated record